This 250-nucleotide ribosomal RNA is filed under the name uncultured bacterium. RNAcentral describes it as "partial 16S ribosomal RNA". It matches the Rfam family "Bacterial small subunit ribosomal RNA", at positions 524 to 773 of the family's 1533-position model. The record is from RNAcentral.
UACGAAGGGUGCAAGCGUUACUCGGAAUUACUGGGCGUAAAGCGCGCGUAGGUGGUUUGUUAAGUUGGAUGUGAAAUCCCCGGGCUCAACCUGGGAACUGCAUUCAAAACUGACAAGCUAGAGUAUGGUAGAGGGUGGUGGAACUUCCUGUGUAGCGGUGAAAUGCGUAGAUAUAGGAAGGAACACCAGUGGCGAAGGCGACCACCUGGACUGAUACUGACACUGAGGCACGAAAGCGUGGGGAGCGAAC